This 403-nucleotide long non-coding RNA is filed under the name Hordeum vulgare. RNAcentral's name for it is "long non-coding RNA (HVUL_LNC012709)". The record is from RNAcentral. Lineage: Eukaryota; Viridiplantae; Streptophyta; Magnoliopsida; Poales; Poaceae.
AUUUUUUGAAUUUUUUCUUCUUAAACAUUUCGAGAAUCUGGAUGUUACACGACUUAAGUCCCAUCGUGGUGCUGCUUUGUAGUUUCUAUUCUUUGUGUAACUCGAUCUCCCUGCCGAACCACCACGACGGAGCCAAUGUUCUUCUACCAAAUACAGAGAUAUGGUUGUAUCCUGUAACAGUGUUGAAGAACAUUUGAGUGCGUCUUUUAACGACGCACGUCGGAGAUGCCUUUGAGUCGAUCACGAGAGAGGAGGAAAGGACUAGCGGCUGCUGGACUAGCAGGUGGCUGCUGCCAUGAUGGUUCUCUUCUCUCCUUUGGUCCCGUCUCUCUCCUUUUUAUGGAGCUCCGCGCCCCGUCGUGUCACCGUGUCGCUCUCCUCUCCCCUCUCCCACAUCUUAUUC